Molecule: long non-coding RNA, 1427 nt
Organism: Sus scrofa (pig)
Lineage: Eukaryota; Metazoa; Chordata; Mammalia; Artiodactyla; Suidae
Source: RefSeq, a predicted model, not a curated record
CAAAGGAGGGAGGGGUUUGGCGAAGUGAAAACCUGGGGGCAAAGCUUCCCAGCAAGGAAACAGCAGGUGCAAAGGUCCUGAGACAGACACCUGACUGGUACGUUUGAAGAAUGGUGAGGCAGGAGUUCCCGCUGUGGUGCAGUGGGUUAAUGAGCUGACAUUGUCUCUGCAGUGAUGCGGGUUUGGUCCCCAGCCUGGCACAGUGGGUGAAGAAGGAUCCGGCGUUGCUGGGGUGUAGGCCACAGCGGCCGCUUAGAUUGCACCCCUGGCCCCGGAACCUCCAUAUGCCUUGGGUGCAGCUGGUGCGGCAGCUAGUUCUGAGCCAGAGUCCUAGGAAAACAGGCCCUACAGGUCCUGGGCUCCACUGCUGUUUCCAAUCAUCCCAUUUAGUCCUCAUUACAUUUUCCAGAUGGGGAAACAGGCCCCAGGUGGACCAGUGCCUUGCCUGAGGUCACCCAGCUAGCAAGGGGAUAGCUGAGGACGGGAAGCCAGAACUGGGCGCCACUCAGAGCUGGCCUAGGGCCUGGGGGUAGCCAAGAGGGGGAGGAGGGCUUGGGGGAGGCCACCCCACCCAGGAAAUGCCGAGACCGCAGCAGCCUGUCCCUGGCCUGAGGCUGGCCUGGGCGGCCACGGUGGAGAUGGCUUUCCCUUCCCAAGGGCGCUGCUGACUCGGGUGCCCUCCUGCCCCCUCACCUCUAGGCUAGGUGUGGGCCCGAGAUUACCCAGACCUCGUGUUCAUGCCCUUGCCUGGGCUCUCUGAGCCCGUUCCUUGCUGCGAACGACGAGCAGGCCCUGCUGCCCGAGCGACCCUUGGAGGCAGGUACCGGUGUCAUCCACAUGUUUACAGAUGAAGACACUGAGGCACAGAGAGCUCAAGGACCUUGCUCCAGGCUGCACAGCCGCUAAAGUCGAUGCGAAGCAACAACUUCCUAACACUUCCCUGUGUGAGGCCUUCAUUGGGCAAAUGAGGCCCUGGGCUCAGGCCCUGCCACUCAGCCAUGGGGGGGCAGGGCAGGGCAGGGACCAGAACCCAGGGCUCAGAGUGGGGCCUCCGGUGCUGGGUGUGCAGUGGGCCAUGGCCCGAGGGGCCUGACCCCUCUCAGGGCAGCCAGCUCUGCCCCCUGCCUGUACCCACCUGUCUUAGCUUCCGCCUUCAUCAGCUGAAACCAGGAAAGGGUUUUGAAUGGCGCCUGCCACUCGCAGACACUCUUGUGCCCUGUUAACAUCUUUGCUCCUCUCGCCCCCUGCUUCCCACUUGCCCUCUUCCAGAUCCAGCUCCAACCCCAGGGAAGGGCUGAGCAGGGCUGGCGUGGGUGGAGGGGUGCAGCCAAGCCCGUGGCUUGGCAGCUGCCUGGGGUCACAAGCCAGGCACUCCGCCCUUCACACAGCUAGGGGGGUCUGGGCCUGGUCUACAGGCCCCACCUAAG